Molecule: microRNA precursor, 122 nt
Filed under: Pelobates cultripes (western spadefoot toad)
Lineage: Eukaryota; Metazoa; Chordata; Amphibia; Anura; Pelobatidae
Source: RNAcentral
GGUGUGCACCCUAAAGCACAAGCACACGCCGUAUAUAUAUAUAUAUAUAUGUAUCUAUGUAUAUAGAUACAUAUAUAUAUAUAUAUAUAUACGGCGUGUGCUUGUGCUUUAGGGUGCUGUGU